Molecule: ribosomal RNA, 467 nt
Filed under: uncultured bacterium
Lineage: Bacteria
Description: partial 16S ribosomal RNA
Rfam family: Bacterial small subunit ribosomal RNA
Source: RNAcentral
GACGAACGCUGGCGGCGUGCUUAACACAUGCAAGUCGAACGGAAAGGCCUCUUUCGGGGGGUACUCGAGUGGCGAACGGGUGAGUAACACGUGAGUAACCUGCCCUUGACUUUGGGAUAACUUCAGGAAACUGGGGCUAAUACCGGAUAGGAGCUCCUGCUGCAUGGUGGGGGUUGGAAAGUUUCGGCGGUUGGGGAUGGACUCGCGGCUUAUCAGCUUGUUGGUGGGGUAGUGGCUUACCAAGGCUUUGACGGGUAGCCGGCCUGAGAGGGUGACCGGCCACAGUGGGACUGAGAUACGGCCCAGACUCCUACGGGAGGCAGCAGGGGGGAAUAUUGCACAAGGGGUGGAAGCCUGAUGCAGCAACGCCGUGUGCGGGAUGACGGCCUUCGGGUUGUAAACCGCUUUCGCUCAUGACGAAGCUUUGUGUGACGGUAGUGGGUAAAGAAGCACCGGCUAACUACGUG